AGUGAAUAGAUACCCGGGUAGUCCACGCCGUAAACGAUGAGUACUAGGUGUAGGGGGUAUCGACCCCCUUGUGCCGCAGUAAAAACAACAAAUAAAGUACUCCGCCUGGGAAGUACGAUCGCAAGAUUAAAACUCAAAGGAAUUGACGGGGACCCGCACAAGCAGCGGAGCAUGUGGUUUAAUUCGAAGCAACGCGAAGAACCUUACCUGGACUUGACAUCCCCUGAAUAACUCGUAAUGGAGGAAACCCUUCGGGGCAGGGAGACAGGUGGUGCAUGGUUGUCGUCAGCUCGUGUCGUGAGAUGUUAGGUUAAGUCCUGCAACGAGCGCAACCCCUGUCGUUAGUUGCCAUCACGUAAAGGUGGGCACCCUAACGAGACUGCCGCGGUUAACGUGGAGGAAGGUGGGGAUGACGUCAAAUCAUCAUGCCCCUUAUGUCCAGGGCAACACACGUGCUACAAUGGGCAGAACAGAGAGAAGCAAUACCGCGAGGAGGAGCAAAUCUCAAAAAA
This 512-nucleotide ribosomal RNA is filed under the name uncultured bacterium. RNAcentral describes it as "bacterial SSU rRNA". It matches the Rfam family "Bacterial small subunit ribosomal RNA", at positions 774 to 1281 of the family's 1533-position model. The record is from RNAcentral.